UAGAUAAGAGCCUCUUUUCCUCUUUCUUUUUCUCCACAUGCUGAUCCAAAGGCAUCUGCAGAAAAUCGUCUUCACAGCAGAUGAAGCUCACGGUGCAUCCCAUCCAGACAGGUUCAGGUGAGCGUCCUUAAGACCCAUUCAACGCGAGCGUUCCCCGGGAAUAUUCCUCCUGAAGGUCAGCGCGGCAGGUAUGAGCUGCGAUCAAACACUCGCGGGGCACUUCGGCCCAGAUCGGAUCCGGCGGGGGUUAUUCCAUUAGCGUCGGCGUCUCCGCGCGCGGUGUUCGCGUUGACCGCGGAACUGCCAUUGGGAAUGACGCGCUGAAGCGGUGGGAAGGACCGGAGCGCGAGGGGGAAAAGUUUGAAAACUGGGAUGCGUGACUCUGAAGUGUCUCGCGCGCGCGCGCGCGCUCCCGGAGCUGCAGGAGAGUAAACACAGGCCGCCUCGCUUUAAUGUGCAGCGAUGCCUUGCGCAGCUGUCUAGACUCUCAUUCUGACGGCACCCAUUCACUGCAGAGGAGCCACUGGUGAGCAAGUGAUAUGCUGCAUUCGUUUCUCCAAAUCUGUUCCCAUGAAGAAACUCAUCUACAUCUUGGAUGGCUGGAGGCUGAGUAAAUAUUCAGCAAAAUGACAUUCUUAGCUGAACUAGUGGUCUAAUAUUAUAUUUUUGAACGUAUAAACCUCAGACUUAUUUUACAGACUUGUACUCCACCAUCUUACACUUUGCCUCUUUCUCCUUAGCUGUAAUCUGAGAGGGAACAGGGAAAGAGGGAAAUGGUUCUGAGACACCCGGGCCGAUGCCCAUCGCCAGAACUCCUAGGGGCCAGAGAACCACAAAAGGCCUCUGUGGAAGAGAGAUCCGGGGUCGGACCAGUGCGGCUUUCAUGUCUGGGUUUCCUCGGUCACUUAAAUCCGCAGGUGCUGAGAGGGGACGUCUGUGACUGAAAAACAUUCCCAGGGUGCCAUUUGAUACAGACGUGAAUCAGAAGAUCCUGACGAAACUCAUUCCACAGCUCAGCAGUCGCGUGUGUUUUAUCCAAGCUGCUUUCAAAUAUCAACAACCUCUGUUCUGAACAUAUGCGUAAAUGAAUUACGUUUCCCUUUAUACAAACUACAAAUGCACUUAACCCUAUGAAGCCUGCUGUAUCAUAUUUGAUAUGUGCAUCUCUGAAUGAUCAGCUUGAUUAAAAUUGCUGUUCUUUACCAUCUA
Puntigrus tetrazona (Sumatra barb) is the source of this 1209-nucleotide long non-coding RNA. RefSeq lists it as uncharacterized. The transcript has 2 exons. The record is from RefSeq and is a predicted model, not a curated record. Lineage: Eukaryota; Metazoa; Chordata; Actinopteri; Cypriniformes; Cyprinidae.